GUAAAACGUGAAGCCCCUCUCUAAAAAAGUGAGCUCCUCCGGAAGUCACUGCAUAGUUUGCACUCUGCUAAGACACAACGGUGAAGACGCUGAAAUGACUACUGCAGAUCCUGGGAGAAAACUGUACAUCAUGGUUGGUGUGAUCUUUGGACUCCUGUGCAUCUUACAGGCUACUCUCAACAUUUCACUGCAUCUUUCUCUCUACAGUUCUUACAGAACAACAUUGGGCA
Molecule: long non-coding RNA, 230 nt
Organism: Scomber japonicus (chub mackerel)
Lineage: Eukaryota; Metazoa; Chordata; Actinopteri; Scombriformes; Scombridae
Exons: 3
Source: RefSeq, a predicted model, not a curated record